CUGCCCUUCAGUCUGGGACAACUUUCCGAAAGGGGAGCUAAUACCGGAUAACAAUGUUUAACAUAAGUUGAAUAUUUGAAAGCUCCGGCGCUGAUUGAUGAGUCUGCGUCCCAUUAGCUUGUUGGUGUGGUAGCGGCACACCAAGGCCACGAUGGGUAGCGGGUUUGAGAGGACGAUCCGCCACACUGGAACUGAGACACGGUCCAGACUCCUACGGGAGGCAGCAGUGGGGAAUAUUGCACAAUGGAGGAAACUCUGAUGCAGCAAUGCCGCGUGAGUGAAGAAGGCCCUUGGGUCGUAAAGCUCUUUUAUGGGGGAAGAUGAUGACGGUACCCCAGGAAUAAGCACCGGCUAACUACGUGCCAGCAGCCGCGGUAAUACGUAGGGUGCGAGCGUUGUUCGGAAUUACUGGGCGUAAAGGGCGCGCAGGCGGAGGUGCAAGUCGGAGGUGAAAGCCCGGGGCUCAACCCCGGAGGGUCUUUCGAAACUGCAUUUCU
Molecule: ribosomal RNA, 497 nt
Filed under: uncultured SAR324 cluster bacterium
Lineage: Bacteria; Deltaproteobacteria
Description: bacterial SSU rRNA
Rfam family: Bacterial small subunit ribosomal RNA
Source: RNAcentral